AUGCGUGUCACUGGACCGGCCUUGACCUCCCUGUGUCUCAUAGCGCUCUUCGCGCCUUCUCGCUCCCUCGAGUUCGACUCUGGCUCCUGGGGCUCAGGCUCAGGCUCCGGACACGACUCGGAUGUCCCGUGUCCGUGGGAGGGCAGACCAGGUAAACCGUGCGAGCAGAGCCCAGGUUCGUCCGUCAUCUCGACCCCCAUUUUCAUGGAACACGAUCCAACAUUUUGGCUCAUCGACGAUGACCUGUCCACAGGGAGAAACAUGGAUGCAGAACCGACUGCAGUUGUGGAAGAUGACUGGGAUGAACUACCUGAGCAGUGGCCACCAAACGGGAUGCAUACAGAAUGGAUACUUGGAUUGCUGGCUUUGUUUGUGGUCCUCUCGGGACUCUUGACCUUCAUCAUGUACUGUAUCCUCUCUCAAAAGCGACUUCAAGAACGUCUAAAGCUUCAACUUUUGCUUCUCUCCUGUCAAGGAAAAGAAAUAAAGGAGGCAAGAUUCUUGGAAGCAAAGAAAUGUGUUGUGUAACGUUCCGACGUCACACCAUCUGUGGACUCAUCCACAAGUACUCAUAUUAGUCAUAACCUUUUGUUAGGCCAAGCUUCUACACUUCUUCUUCUUCUUUCGUCUGUCGUACAAGGCUGUGAGUAGCAUCAUUGGCUGAGGGCAGGGCUGUGCCGCUGAUGCAGUGCCCCCUGUGGGUUUGUGCAGUAAUUUGUUGAGGGUGGCGGCGGAUGCUCGUCUACUCUUCACAGAGGACACUGGGAUAUUUAACGUCCACCAACUAAUGCCGACAGAAGGGACGCCAGUUUAAUGUCCAUCCGAAGGACACAUCCGAAGGACCUCGCCCUGCCUGUGAGACACCAGGAUGACAGUUUUCAGUUGGGCCGAGAUUCAAACCCAGGCUAGACGGCUCAGAGGCGAGUGUGCAUACCUGUAAGACAUCCUGCCAACUUUUUCUGGACUUGCAUUUUUUUGCCCAUGAAGCAAGAUUUGUAUCCUACGAUUAAUUUGCAAUUGGUCACUGGCUUUGACACCAACACAAAUUUUUAUUACGGACCCCGGGCAUCAAAAAAGCUACAUAUAAUUGAACAAACAGUUUCAAAUGGAGCACCUCACCGCCAUUAGAGUAUUUAACUUGCAUCAGAUGUGGCAAUAAAUGCGAAUUGUUGCUCACAGCUUGCCGGCUCUGACAGAAAACGCCAUUUGCAUCAUUGCCGCCUCCAUCCCUAUCUCAUUUAGAAUCCCGUGUGGGCACCGGAAACUUGCAAGUGUAUAUUAUAAAAGACAAAGCAACAAAUGAUAUUAAUUAGUGAAGUAGCAAUUGAGGUUUUCAUUUUUUAAGAGAGUGAUUGAAUUGAUUAUGUUUUGAUCAGAUUGACUUUUCAUCGCCGAAUGGAAAAUCUUAGUUUGGGAUCACCCCGUGACAUCACUUUGCGAGAAGAUUCCCCAUGAGGGUUAGCAAUCUCUCAGAUGAGCGCCUCACUGUUAUUGUUGGGUUUGGGGUCGUUAUCUUGCAGAAGACCGUAUAAACAGCGAAAGGUUAUCGUACUAGAUCAUAUUUGAGAUAGUAAAUAGGAUUGUCAAGCACAAAAAUAAUCCUAUCGUAAAACCAAAUGAGCUGAGAUCCAAAGUACAAUGGUAUGGUCUACUGAGGAAGAGGGUGAGGGUGAGGUGUGGCGGUGGGGAGGGGUGGUUGCAGAAUAUCACAUGAGUCAUUGAACAAUUUAGUUUAAAUUCACAUUUAAGAGUCACACUGAACACAACUUCACAGUUCAUCCAAACCAUGCAGCGACACAGAACCAAAUGAAUAAAUCAGGGGUUCAGCAGCUCCUCACAUCCCACACCACGUGCUACUUGGCAAUUCUGCAGAGCUUGGUAGACCAGAGCCAUCUGCUACACCACCUGACCCCCGACCCCCAACUCUCCUACUCAUAUGUCCACCUUAUGUGAAAACAUUUGAUUAAUGCAAAAUCAAUCUUAAUCUUGAAAUUCAACUCAUCCAAACCAAAGAGAAACCUUUUAACCCAAAACACAAUUAAUUGCAUAUUCAAAGCUCCUAAUAUUGGGGCUGGUAGCAUACUCUAGGAGGGAAGCAUACUCCCCUCUGAACGGUCGAACCUGGGUUCGAACCUCGGCUCGGAUAUAAACUGUCAUCCCCGUGCUUCACAGGCAGGGCGUAGCAUCAAUGUGUGUGUCGUCCCUUGGAUGGAUGAUAAACUGGGUGUUCAGUCUGCUCGGAUUAGUGGGUGGACGUUAAAAAUCCCAUGGUGUCCGUCACGAAAAGUAGGCAAACUAUUGCCGGCACCGUGAAGAAAUGACAAAUUUCUGUCCAAAUCAGUUGAAAUUCAUGCCUGGCCAGCCAGUUCGUGAGAUUUGGGCUCAAAAACAUACCCUGGCUGACCCCACAAUAGGGUGGAAAUAAUUGGGGCCGUUAAAAAGAUGAAAAAGUAGUGAUUGUAGUUGUAGUGGAACACCUAACGUUUCAGCUCGCUAAAUGUUUACUUAUCUGUGAAAUUUCACCCCAAAAUAAAAGGAAAUGUAUCAGAUUUUUUUUUCAUUGUUUUCUUGAGCAUUUCCUAUCCAUCUUUAUGCGCUCGCUUUUGGUGUUAGAUCAUUAGUCUCACCCCGAAGGGGUUGCAAGACUCUUGCAAAGUGUGUGUGUGUGUGUGUGUGUGUGUGCGUGUGCGUGUGCGUGUGUGUGUGUGUGUGUGCGCACAUCAAGAUGUUGUCACUUUAAGUUUUUGUCCCUCCCUCUGUAACCGCUUGUCCGAUCGAUACAAAACUUUAAACAUAGGAGAGACUUCCCAUGAAGAAUAUUUUAUUGACAGCUCUGACAUCAGAGGUGACGUGAUAUGGCAGCCAUGUUGGAUUAAAGGGGGAAAAAAUUGACAUCUUCUUCUUCUCUGAAACCGCUCAACAAAAAAAAUUGAAACUUGGCCGAUGUCAUCAACUCCCCAUGGGGGUAUAGGUUAACGGUGACAUCGUCGGUGAAGUGGUCUCAGCCAAAAUUGGUUGAACUGAAAUCCUUAUCCGAAAAAAAUUUUGAAACUUCAUACAUCUGAUCUAUGACCGGAUGUGAGUGAAAAAUUAAAUUUAUGACAUCAUCGGCCACGUGGUCUGGCGUACAUAUUAGACUGAAAAAAAAUCGUUUUCUCCAGAACCGUUUAAUAAUUCGAUGUCAAACUUCAUACAUAUGAUCGAAUAGUCAUGGGGAAUAUAGUUUGAAAUGUAUUUCAUAUCCACCUUCAUUGACACGAUUUAGCCUUAAUGUGCACAAAAGAAGUCGUCAAAUAUCCUAAUAAUAAAUAAAGCUACGGAUAAUGGCAAUUUAUGUGACAUAGAGUGCAUGGAUGAUACGGGGUAUAUGGACCAUAAGUGUUAUUUUAGUUUAGAUAUUGUGGUGUGACGUGCCUGCGUAGCAAAUCUUGCAUGUGGUUUUAUUUGCCAGACCUUAGAAAAAUAAAUAAAUAAAAGUAUUAAAAAAUAUAUAUUUCAUUGCCUUGUCGGAGUCCGUGAUCUCCCAGUCACUAUCACUGUAUUCCUAAUAAUUCAGUGGCUUAAAUCAAAACACCUGCAUACCACAAUCAUUCUCCUCUAAAGGGAUUCCACUCCUCUCAAGAUGAUGCUAUGGUCUUAACCUUAAGCAACUGCAAUGUAAAUAAGUAGCAAUCUACUCUCCUUGUUCAGCUUGUAUUAUUACACACAUCUCACUGCUCAGCAAACACACCGACAUGGGUCAUUUCUCUUAGUUUCAGGUCAACAUGCUAGCAUUUCACACCUUUUGAAUGUUGUCGGGCAUAGUAGACUAUGAUAUGAAUUGACUAAUUUAUUUUCCUAUGUUUUGAUUUCAAGGAGACACGUUGGUGUAUGACCCUUAAAUGUUAUUUAAUCUGUGGAGCUGACACAAUAAGAACACCUGUGAUUGUUCCCCCACACCCUGCUGUUCCGCAAACGAUGAACAAAUACUUGGUACUGUUAUCGUGUACUCUUAGAUUGCCUCUGUGCCCUAGUGUGGACACACCGUACCACCCCCUCCACAUGCAUUGUGCUAAAUCGAUAUGUACCACAUUUAUUAAAGUACAAAUUAAAAAUAUAGUUGCCUCCAUUAUUAUUAUUUUGUAUGCAGCCUAUAACUGCUGGUUGCAUCAUUGCCUGGAGUGUGGCUGUGCCACUGAUGCAGUGCCCCCGUUUCCAGUAAGCUGGUACUCAUAUUGCUGACCACGGAAGGAUGACAGGCUGAAUCAAUCCACCUGGUGUUGUUUAACCGCACGACGAGGACUCAAACUCAAGACCCUAAGAUCUUAAGCAAGCCCCCAUAACCGUUAAACCAACACCAGGCUUGUUGUCUCCAUUUAGUAAUUUGUAUUUUUUUGUUGUUGUUGAAACAAUCUGUUGCUUCUGCCGUUGGAUCAAUUCCUAAAUGACAAAAUGAAUGGUACAUUUACAUGUCACGUUUUUGGCAGGCAGUGCAUGGAUUAUCCAUCCAUGUCCAGUGUUUGCUGUGGUGUUCAAUGCAGUAGAUUUACAAAUCCUCAAAUGACAAUGACAAGUUAAGACUUGUAAAGUUUGACUACUCAUCGAGCAAUUCCAUGCUCUCUGCAGCACAUCUUCAUUCACAAAACCCGCAUUGUGCAGAUCAGGUAACAUCGAGUCCUUUUCUCCACCUGACAUCACAGUCCAUGCAGCUCCCCAACAGCAGCCAUGUAAAUAAAAAAAUUAACGACUUGAGAAAUUGUUCUUUGUUCAUGGCAUUGAUGAAGCAUGUACAUUAUUUUGGUGGAGUUAUAUUUUUCAAAAUCUAUGCAUAUUUAGAAACUCAAAUUCACAUCACCUGGCUUAAAAAGAAGUCACCAUAGGUGGAGGUGGAAAGUGAGCCGAUUUAGUGUAUCCAUCUGAGCACUCAUGAAGCUGGAAUCCCAGGUUCAAUUGCCAUAUCCUGUUGCGAUUUGUCCAUUGUCAACUAAUGUCCUUUUAAUUCAAGGAAAAGUGUAAUGAUGUUACCCAUCGUCAUGGCUGUGUGUUUAAACUCCUAAAUCCAGAUUCACUGCUCACCUCCACUCAUUUAUUCCUCUUUUUCCCCACCUGUGGAACCAACAUCCUCAGUCUCUUGCCCACCCCACACAUUUCUGCUGCUGUUUUCAUUCUGUUACGGCCUAAUCCAUUCUAUGUUCUAGCUCCCCACGAGCCUCACCAUUAUAUACAAAAAACACCUUAACCUAAUGUUUAAAAUAAUUCAUUUUGAUGCACCAUAUUCUUUUUAUGCUGGAUAAAGCUUAUUUAUAACCGUCGAGACUCCCUGUGCACCACAUGUAUUUUAAAUUAUCAAUUAUAAAUUUUGGCCUAUCUGGAACCAAUUGCACCAAGAUGCCC
RNAcentral lists this long non-coding RNA (5373 nucleotides) under Eptatretus burgeri (inshore hagfish). Its description in RNAcentral is "lncRNA (ENSEBUG00000017374.1)". Lineage: Eukaryota; Metazoa; Chordata; Myxini; Myxiniformes; Myxinidae. The record is from RNAcentral.